This 505-nucleotide ribosomal RNA is filed under the name uncultured bacterium. RNAcentral describes it as "partial 16S ribosomal RNA". It matches the Rfam family "Bacterial small subunit ribosomal RNA", at positions 28 to 507 of the family's 1533-position model. The record is from RNAcentral.
GACGAACGCUGGCGGCGUGCCUAAUACAUGCAAGUAGAACGCACAGUUUAUACCGUAGCUUGCUACACCAUAAACUGUGAGUUGCGAACGGGUGAGUAACGCGUAGGUAACCUGCCUGGUAGCGGGGGAUAACUAUUGGAAACGAUAGCUAAUACCGCAUAAUAUUGAUUAUUGCAUGAUAAUUGAUUGAAAGAUGCUAUUGCAUCACUACCAGAUGGACCUGCGUUGUAUUAGCUAGUAGGUGAGGUAACGGCUCACCUAGGCGACGAUACAUAGCCGACCUGGGAGGGUGAUCGGCCACACUGGGACUGAGAACCGGCCCAGACUCCUACGGGAGGCAGCAGUAGGGAAUCUUCGGCAAUGGACGAAAGGCUGACCGAGCAACGCCGCGUGAGUGAAGAAGGUUUUCGGAUCGUAAAGCUCUAUUGUAAGAGAAGAACGGGUGUGAGAGUGGAAAGUUCACACUGUGACGGUAUCUUACCAGAAAGGGACGGCUAACUACGUG